This 557-nucleotide ribosomal RNA is filed under the name uncultured fungus. Its description in RNAcentral is "SSU rRNA". It matches the Rfam family "Eukaryotic small subunit ribosomal RNA", at positions 194 to 755 of the family's 1831-position model. Lineage: Eukaryota; Fungi. The record is from RNAcentral.
GGAAGGGAUGUAUUUAUUAGAUUAAAAACCAAUGCCCUUCGGGGCUCUCUGGUGAUUCAUAAUAACUUCUCGAAUCGCACGGCCUUGCGCCGGCGAUGGUUCAUUCAAAUUUCUGCCCUAUCAACUUUCGACGGCUGGGUCUUGGCCAGCCGUGGUGACAACGGGUAACGGAGGGUUAGGGCUCGACCCCGGAGAAGGAGCCUGAGAAACGGCUACUACAUCCAAGGAAGGCAGCAGGCGCGCAAAUUACCCAAUCCCGACACGGGGAGGUGGUGACAAUAAAUACUGAUACAGGGCUCUUUCGGGUCUUGUAAUUGGAAUGAGUACAAUUUAAAUCCCUUAACGAGGAACAAUUGGAGGGCAAGUCUGGUGCCAGCAGCCGCGGUAAUUCCAGCUCCAAUAGCGUAUAUUAAAGUUGUUGAGGUUAAAAAGCUCGUAGUUGAACCUUGGGCCUAGCCGGCCGGUCCGCCUCACCGCGUGCACUGGCUCGGCUGGGUCUUUCCUUCUGGAGAACCGCAUGCCCUUCACUGGGUGUGCCGGGGAACCAGGACUUUUAC